UAGCUAGUUGGUAGGGUAAAGGCCUACCAAGGCGACGAUCGGUAGCUGGUCUGAGAGGAUGACCAGCCACACUGGAACUGGGACGCGGUCCAGACUCCUACGGGAGGCAGCAGUGGGGAAUAUUGGACAAUGGGGGCAACCCUGAUCCAGCAAUGCCGCGUGUGUGAAGAAGGCCUGAGGGUUGUAAAGCACUUUCAGUGGGGAGGAGGAUAUUUUGGUUAAGAGCUGAGAUAUUGGACGUUACCUACAGAAGAAGCACCGGCUAACUCCGUGCCAGCAGCCGCGGUAAUACGGAGGGUGCGAGCGUUAAUCGGAAUUACUGGGCGUAAAGAGUGCGUAGGUGGUUAUUUAAGUUAUCUGUGAAAUCCCUGGGCUCAACCUGGGCAGGUCAGAUAAUACUGGGUGACUCGAGUAUAGGAGAGGGUAGUGGAAUUUCCGGUGUAGCGGUGAAAUGCGUAGAGAUCGGAAGGAACACCAGUGGCGAAGGCGGCUACCUGGCCUGAUACUGACACUGAGGCACGAAAGCGUGGGGAGCAAACAGGAUUAGAUACCCUGGUAGUCCACGCCGUAAACGAUGUCAACUAGCUGUUGGUUAUAUAAAAAUAAUUAGUGGCGC
RNAcentral lists this ribosomal RNA (616 nucleotides) under uncultured Legionella sp. RNAcentral describes it as "bacterial SSU rRNA". It matches the Rfam family "Bacterial small subunit ribosomal RNA", at positions 242 to 849 of the family's 1533-position model. Lineage: Bacteria; Pseudomonadati; Pseudomonadota; Gammaproteobacteria; Legionellales; Legionellaceae. The record is from RNAcentral.